Molecule: long non-coding RNA, 463 nt
Filed under: Mytilus galloprovincialis (Mediterranean mussel)
Lineage: Eukaryota; Metazoa; Mollusca; Bivalvia; Mytilida; Mytilidae
Source: RNAcentral
AAACUAAUGGAAAUCUAAAUGGUACAAAAUGCAACUUGACCAUUCCAUAAAGUGAAACUCCUAAAAGAAAGAAGAUCAAUGAAAGUAAUGGAAAAACACCACCACAGAAGACACCAUCACAAAAGAAGAAGAGAAAAGUAACAACAUAAUGUACUGAUGACAAUACUAAGACAAAGGUAAGUUUACAAUAUACAUUUUUGGCUCUAUUUAUUGUAGUAUCAAGAUUGAUUGAUUGUUGGUUGCUUAACGUCCAGUGGCAAAUAUUUCAUGCAUAUUCAGGACGAGAACAAGUUCACAAUAAAUACAAUAGGUAGGUUGAUACGAUAGAGGUCAUCUGGGAUGAUGGUCGGGGAAAUUUGGACUGCCAUUGGAAUAAAUAUGAAAUACUGGUUUCCCACGGCAUUCACUAAAAUUACAGCUUCCCUCUUAGACAUUAUUAUGUCAGCACAAUAUAUGAGCAAAC